RNAcentral lists this ribosomal RNA (441 nucleotides) under uncultured bacterium. Its description in RNAcentral is "partial 16S ribosomal RNA". It matches the Rfam family "Bacterial small subunit ribosomal RNA", at positions 338 to 795 of the family's 1533-position model. The record is from RNAcentral.
CCUACGGGUGGCAGCAGUGGGGGAUAUUGGACAAUGGGGGGAACCCUGAUCCAGCGACGCCGCGUGAGUGAAGAAGUAUCUCGGUAUGUAAAGCUCUAUCAGCAGGGAAGAAGAAAUGACGGUACCAGAGUAAGAAGCCCCGGCUAACUACGUGCCAGCAGCCGCGGUAAUACGUAGGGGGCAAGCGUUAUCCGGAUUUAUUGGGUUAAAAGGGUGCGUAGGCGGUCCGGAAAGUCAGCGGGAAAAGCCCGGGGCUAAACCCCGGCGAGCCGUUGAAACUGUCGGACUAGAGACGGCGAGAGGUACGCGGAAUGCGCGGUGUAGCGGUGAAAUGCAUAGAUAUCGCGAAGAACUCCGAUUGCGAAGGCAGCGUACUGGCGCCGGACUGACGCUGAGGCACGAAAGCGUGGGUAUCGAACAGGAUUAGAUACCCUGGUAGUC